Molecule: ribosomal RNA, 552 nt
Filed under: Lactiplantibacillus plantarum
Lineage: Bacteria; Bacillati; Bacillota; Bacilli; Lactobacillales; Lactobacillaceae
Description: bacterial SSU rRNA
Rfam family: Bacterial small subunit ribosomal RNA
Source: RNAcentral
CUCCUACGGGAGGCAGCAGUAGUGAAUCUUUCACACUGGACGAAAAUUAGAUGGAACAACCCCGCGUGGAUGAAGAAGGGGUUUGGCUUGUAAAAAUUUGGUGUUAAAGAAGAACAUAUCUGAGAGUAACUGUUCAGGUAUUGACGGUAUUUAACCAGAAAGCCACGGCUAACUACGUGCCAGCAGCCGCGGUAAUACGUAGGUGGCAAGCGUUGUCCGGAUUUAUUGGGCGUAAAGCGAGCGCAGGCGGUUUUUUAAGUCUGAUGUGAAAGCCUUCGGCUCAACCGAAGAAGUGCAUCGGAAACUGGGAAACUUGAGUGCAGAGGGGGGCAGUGGAACUCCAUGGGUAGCGGUGAAAUGCGUAGAUAUAUGGAAGAACCCAGUGGCGAAGGCGGCUGUCUGGUCUGUAACUGACGCUGAGGCUCGAAAGGAUGGGUAGCAAAACAGGAUUAGAUACCCUGGUAGUCCAUACCGUAAACGAUGAAUGCUAAGUGUUGGAGGGUUUCCGCCCUUCAGUGCUGCAGCUAAAGCAAUAAGCAUUCCGCGGGGGGA